GAGUAAUGCUCACCAAGGCGACGAUGCGUAGCCGACCUGAGAGGGUGAUCGGCCACACUGGACUGAGACACGGCCCAGACUCUACGGGAGGCAGCAGUAGGGAAUCUUCCGCAAUGGACGAAAGUCUGACGGAGCAACGCCGCGUGAACGAUGAAGGCUUUCGGGUCGUAAAGUUCUGUUGUCAGGGAAGAACAAGUACCGGAGUAACUGCCGGUACCUUGACGGUACCUGACAAGAAAGCCACGGCUAACUACGUGCCAGCAGCCGCGGUAAUACGUAGGUGGCAAGCGUUGUCCGGAAUUAUUGGGCGUAAAGCGCGCGCAGGCGGUUCCUUAAGUCUGAUGUGAAAGCCCCCGGCUCAACCGGGGAGGGUCAUUGGAAACUGGGGAACUUGAGUGCAGAAGAGGAGAGCGGAAUUCCACGUGUAGCGGUGAAAUGCGUAGAGAUGUGGAGGAACACCAGUGGCGAAGGCGGCUCUCUGGUCUGUAAVUGACGCUGAGGCGCGAAAGCGUGGGGAGCGAACAGGAUUAGAUACCCUGGUAGUCCACGCCGUAAACGAUGAGUGCUAAGUGUUAGAGGGUUUCCGCCCUUUAGUGCUGCAGCAAACGCAUUAAGCA
RNAcentral lists this ribosomal RNA (617 nucleotides) under Bacillus sp. G300V. RNAcentral describes it as "bacterial SSU rRNA". It matches the Rfam family "Bacterial small subunit ribosomal RNA", at positions 256 to 866 of the family's 1533-position model. Lineage: Bacteria; Bacillati; Bacillota; Bacilli; Caryophanales; Bacillaceae. The record is from RNAcentral.